GUUGCUGUGUUGCUUGAUGGAAAUGCUCAUCCUAACAACCGGGCUUUUGAUGGGUUAACUCCUCUUCAUAUUGCUGCAAUGUGGGGACACUUGCAAGCAGUUGAGUUGCUGGUUAACAGUGAUGCAGACAUUGAACUGUGUGACAAUGAGGGGAAAACAGCUCUGAUGUUAUCACGUGAGAUGAACCAGUACCAUGUUGCAAGAUAUCUGGACAAGUUACAGAGACACAUUAUUACUGCUGUGUGCGAGGCUGAAGAGGCGUGUAGCAGGAUGGACCAGACG
This is a long non-coding RNA of Bolinopsis microptera, 282 nucleotides long. RefSeq lists it as uncharacterized. The transcript has 3 exons. The record is from RefSeq and is a predicted model, not a curated record. NCBI's taxonomy places the organism in Eukaryota, Metazoa, Ctenophora, Tentaculata, Lobata, Bolinopsidae.